This 84-nucleotide ribosomal RNA is filed under the name Akkermansiaceae bacterium. Lineage: Bacteria; Pseudomonadati; Verrucomicrobiota; Verrucomicrobiia; Verrucomicrobiales; Akkermansiaceae. The record is from RNAcentral.
UCUGGUGGCCAUAGCAGAGAGGAACCACCCGGUCCCAUUCCGAACCCGGAAGUGAAACUCUCUAGCGCCGAUGGUAGUGGGACG